RNAcentral lists this ribosomal RNA (464 nucleotides) under uncultured bacterium. RNAcentral's name for it is "partial 16S ribosomal RNA". It matches the Rfam family "Bacterial small subunit ribosomal RNA", at positions 339 to 795 of the family's 1533-position model. The record is from RNAcentral.
CUACGGGCGGCUCCAGUGGGGAAUUUUGGACAAUGGGCGCAAGCCUGAUCCAGCCAUUCCGCGUGAGUGAAGAAGGCCUUCGGGUUGUAAAGCUCUUUCGCAAGGGAAGAAAACCUAUCCUCUAACAUAGGGUGAGGUUGACGGUACCUUGAUAAGAAGCACCGGCUAACUACGUGCCAGCAGCCGCGGUAAUACGUAGGGUGCGAGCGUUAAUCGGAAUUACUGGGCGUAAAGCGUGCGCAGGCUGUUUUGUAAGUCAGAUGUGAAAUCCCCGAGCUCAACUUGGGAACUGCGUUUGAAACUACAAGACUAGAAUAUGUCAGAGGGGGGUAGAAUUCCAUGUGUAGCAGUGAAAUGCGUAGAGAUGUGGAGGAAUACCAAUGGCGAAGGCAGCCCCCUGGGAUAAUAUUGACGCUCAUGCACGAAAGCGUGGGGAGCAAACAGGAUUAGAUACCCCCGUAGUC